RNAcentral lists this non-coding RNA (968 nucleotides) under Amphioctopus fangsiao. The record is from RNAcentral. Lineage: Eukaryota; Metazoa; Mollusca; Cephalopoda; Octopoda; Octopodidae.
UAUAUAAAUUUGACUUUGGUUUAGUUUUUAAUUAUUAUGGUUUUAUACAUGUUAGGUUUUAGUUUAUAUUAAUUAUGUUGUUCGUGAAAUUUUCUUAUUGUUGUAUUUUAAUAUAUAUUAUUUAAUAUAUUUAUAUUUGGAUAUAAUAUUUAAUUAUUAGAUAGAAUUUAAUAUGAUUUUAUAGAAAGUUUUCAGUAUAUAUAUUUAUACAAUGAAUGUAAGUUUUAUAUAGAGAUUGUAAAUUAUUAUUGGAUAAAUUUGUGCCAGCAUCUGCGGUUAUACAUAUAAUAUAAAUUAAAAAUUUUUGGUUAAAAAUAAAGUUAAGUUGAUUAUUGAUUGUGGAAGUAUUAUAAUUGAUUUUUUGGUAAAAUUAAAUAAAUGAUUUGUUUAUUAAAUAAAUCAUUAUUAUUGAUUCUUUGAAAUUUUAAAAAAAAACAAGGAUUAGAUACCCUAUUAUUUUAUUAUGAAAAAGUUGAUUUAUAUUUACCUAAGUAUUAUGAAGAUUAUAUAAUGUUUUAUAAAUAUUGUUUAAAACUUAAAAGGUUUGGCGGUUUUACAUAUCCAGUUAGGGGAGUCUGUUAAUAUAAUUUGAUAAUCCACAUUUUAAACUAAUUUCUUUUUGAUAUAAUAAUUAUAGUUAUGUAAUUGUAACAGUUUAUAUAUUGCUGUCGUCAGUUUAUAUUUUAAAAGUGAAAGAACUAGAUAAUUUUUUUAUUUUAAUGUCAAGUCAAAAUGUAGCUUAUGAAGAAGGUUUAAUGGACUACUUUAAUUAAUUUUAUUUAUAAUCCGGAUGAUGAAAAUUAUAUUUUGUUAAUAAGGUGGACUUAAUAGUAAGUUGGUGAUUAGUAUGCAUGACUGAAUAUUGGUUUUUUAAGAUGUACAUAUCGCCCGUCACUCUUGUUGUAUUAAAUAAGAUAAGUCGUAACAUAGUAGAGGUAAUGGAAAUUGUUUCUGGAAUAUAUAAUAUC